Galleria mellonella (greater wax moth) is the source of this 1772-nucleotide long non-coding RNA. RefSeq lists it as uncharacterized. The transcript is spliced from 2 exons. The record is from RefSeq and is a predicted model, not a curated record. NCBI's taxonomy places the organism in Eukaryota, Metazoa, Arthropoda, Insecta, Lepidoptera, Pyralidae.
UCCUACAAUUUUCGACUAUCGCUUGACAUUUACAAGUUACGCAAUCAAAGGCGGGACGAGUUUUGAAAUUAGACGAGUAUUUAAAAAAAUCAUUAAACUCGAUUUUUUUUAUACAACUUAGAAUGGCAAACAAGCUGACGGCCCCCCUGAUGGAAAGUGGUAACCGUCGCCUAUAGACAUAAACAGUACCAUGAACAUAACAGAGUAUACUGUUUCACCCAUGAUACCCCCCAUGCGUUGCCAUUCCUGAGGACUCAGGUGUUAUUCCUCUGUACCCUGUAAAUUCACGCCAUAUUCCACCCUUCAAACCGAAACACAGCCAUGCAAACACAACUGUUUUACGGUUGAAACACGAAUGGGACAGAGGUAUCCAAGCAAACGACUUUUGUACAAAGUCUCGAUCCGGUUCUUAUUAUAAUUAAAAUUAAUAUACAUAUGUUAAGUAAUUCUUUGUUUUUCAAAUAAUAUCAAAAUGUAUUCUAAUUAUGCUCUAAAAACGAUAUAAACCUUUGUGUAAAAGUGACGCGACAUUCUUUUCAGUCAGACCAGUGUUGAUGGCAAUUUGCUAUAUAAAGAACUUAUACAUACCAAAAGAAGACAGUCUAAAUCAGGGUCGGACAAGGCCGGAAGACUAGAUAAUGGUAGUUGAACCAGUUGGUAUCGGCACCGCAAGCCCCGCAAGCCGAGCCGUGGGGGCCCCACGUAGGGCCUCGACUAUAUGACCAGCCCGACGCUGGUCUCAAUUUAAUAUUUACUGUCUUAAAAAAUCAACGCUAUGUUGUGCAGCCAUAUAGAAAUUUGACGAUCACUGUAAAUACUUUAAGCUUGUACAGAACGUAAUCCGCCGCAAAAGUUAUACAAGCCGUGUGAUGGAAAGUAUUUAAAAAUUUGAAUAGGUGCACUACCAUACGAGGUUUUGCCUUCAGGGAAAGGCAAGAAAAACUUAAUUUUGGUUGACGGUAAUACAUUUUCGGUGCAAGGUCAAAACUUGUAUAUUUACUACUGCUCUAGAAAGUCCAGCAUUGGAUGUAAAGCAAAAGUUAGGUUAAACAAAAACCAGUUAAUUUAUAAUGCAGACUUGGUUCAUAACCACGAACCGCCGAUAUUACACCGAACCAGUUGUGGGACAGUUUUAAAAUUAACAACAAGGCGAAAACACUAAUUUUAUUAUUAUGAUUACUAACUUAAAACAGUUCUAUGAUUUAUGGUUUUGUUGACCGACUUCAUAAAGAAGGAGGUUCUCAUACAUAUCGACCCCCACGAGAAAGACCCCACGAAAAAGGAGCCCCAUUCAAUGCACCAUUCUUCGAUUAAUUCCUAAUGGAAGGUUAGAAGUAUUUGCCAAUAGUAAUAGUUGCCUAAUGGUGCAUACUAACUAUUGCAUAAUUAAUGCAAUGGAAGGGAAUUAAAAUGAGCAACUGCCUUAUUGAGAUAUUACUUUAUUAAUAUUUUUAAUUGUAUUAUUAAAUUUUUUUGUUAUUGUAUUUUUUUUUUAUAUAUGGAUUUAGUUGUACACAAUAAUUUAAGCCAUUUAUGUAUUUGUAUAUUUCGAAAUUUAAUUAGAAUUAGAACUAGGUAAUAUAAUAAUAAUUUUGACAAAUUACGUACCAUUUUAACGGAUCUACAAAGAUUGGUGCGACUAGACCAGCAUUUGUACUAGAUGGACUCAGUUGAAGGAAACCUUUGCCCAGCACUGGGCUAUCAUAGGCUAUGAUUGAUUAAUUGAUGUACCACUUAUACUUAAUUUAAUUAACAAAUGUUGAAAGCGUAAU